Molecule: long non-coding RNA, 3324 nt
Organism: Pomacea canaliculata
Lineage: Eukaryota; Metazoa; Mollusca; Gastropoda; Architaenioglossa; Ampullariidae
Exons: 7
Source: RefSeq, a predicted model, not a curated record
AAAGAAAAAGGAAGGAGGCAGACGACAGAAAAAUAACGUGCAGAAGUGAGCAAGGUUCACCGAAUCUCUGGGGUAUGAAAAAAUACUGAGUAGAAGGACUCCCGAGGCAGCCGCGUCGAGACGCGGUUGGUCCUAGCUGUACAGGUGUGAAUACGGAAAGGGGAAUCAGUGGAUUUGGUUCCUUGCCGAGUAAAGGAACUAAUGUGGAGGAACGAUUAAGGAGGAUUCCGAAGGCAGCCGCCAAGUAGGCUCUUUGAUUUCGUCUUUGUUUCAGACUUUUGGCUUAACAUUUCAUUACGCUUCAGACCGGUGAUACAUUAUCGAGCGACAAAGUGCAGUGCCUAAAGAAAUCAACAACACCAAAUGCUUGCAAGUUGCUGCGUAAAUAUUUCGUCUCUAAUCUCUCCCGUCCCUGCCCCAACUUUGAGAAGAUUCACAAUCCUUGGGACCCUUGCAACGGAAGUGGAACCCCGUUUGCUUGUGAACCACGCGGGUUAUUCAAAUAUGGCGACCGAAAAUUGGGAUGAGGCAGCAUCUGCUGUGGCGGAAGCCAUGGCAGAAAUAAAAUUGUUCAGAUAAUGGUCUGCCGACGCUGUUGAAGUAUCAGACAUCAGCCUGAUGGAUGAUAUUGCAGUCAAGUAGAAGUAUGCCAAGUUUCUACAACACUCUGCAGGACGUUACCAAGUCAAGCAUUUUCCGUAAGGCUCAACGCCCCAUUGUAGAGCGCUUAGCAUGCAGUCUGAUGUGAUGAUGCAUGGACGUAACAAUGGCAAGAAACUCACGGCCAUUCGCAUUGUAAAGCCUUCUUUUGAGAUCAUCCACCUGUUGACAGGGGAGUAUGGCGACCGAAAAUUGCUAUGAGGCAGCAUCUGCUGUGGCGGAAGCCAUGGCAGAAAUAAAAUUGUUCAGAAAAUGGUCUGCCGGCGCUGUUCAAGUAUCAGACAUCAGCCUGAUGGAUGAUAUUGCAGUCAAGAAGUAUGCCAAGUUCCUACAACACUCUGCAGGACGUUACCAAGUCAAGCAUUUUCCGUAAGGCUCAACGCCCCAUUGUAGAGCGCUUAGCAUGCAGUCUGAUGUGAUGAUGCAUGGACGUAACAAUGGCAAGAAACUCACGGCCAUUCGCAUUGUAAAGCCUGCUUUUGAGAUCACCCACCUGUUGACAGGGGAGGUUUCGUUCUCGAAAAUGACAGGGAUCGACUGCACAGGUAUGCUCCAAUUUUUUUAAUUUUUUUUAAAUAUUUUUAAAUGAUGAUCGCUUUAUCGCAUUAUUAAAAUCCAUUGAUUAAUGAAGUUAUUCCAUAUUUUAUUUUUAAUUUUUUAGAAUCAAGUACAUAUUAGUUCUGUAUAACUGUUUAUUGUGAAACGAGCAUCAACUGAAGGAAUUAAGAAUCAACUGAUACGGCCCACUAGCUGACUAGCGCACAAUGUGACUAUUAUUUUUUGUUUUGGUUGCACAGGUAUAUGCUCCAAUUUUAAUUUUAAAUGAUGAUCGCUUUAAUGUAUCAUUAAAAUCCAAGUUGUUCUGCAUGCUAGUUCUGUAUAACUGUUGAUUGAGAACGCACAAUGUGACAAUUAUUAUUGUUUUGGUUGCUGUUAGUAAAACGAAUACAAAUACAAAUCAGCCACCAAUAUUACAGUCUGCUGAACAUGAACAGAUUUUGACAGUAGUGGAAAACUGCUAAAUGUAUCAAAUUGUUUUUAAAAAAAAUUAAAGGUACAUCACAAAGCAUAACAUUUAAAACAUCAAAUGCAGAGCCAUGUAUACAACAGUCAUCACAAAUAAGAAACACAAUGUUAAUUUGGGCAGCUGGUUAUUUAUUUAAUAAGAUUCUACUACUAUGUUGCAGUUGACAAUAUCCAAGCAAAGGUAGCCAGCCUCCAAAGCACAUUUUCAAGGGAAAUGCGUAAAAUAAAUAAAUAAAACCAAAGUGGGGCUGGAGCAUAUGUGAUGUCUACAACACUUCAUGGCCCUUUUUCCAGCAGUUGAAAUUCCUGUUGCCAGUAAUGUCUCUAGUGGCACCAACAUCUUCAAGCUUGGUAAACAGAUUGAUUUAUAUAUAUAUAUAGUAACAUAUAAUAAAUUUAUUACAUCUUCUCACAAAGGUUGUUUAAGGUGGCUCAAAAUAUCCUACUGUUAAAAUUUUCUUUCUUCAGAGCUAUCCCUAACCCGUGCUCCAUUUCUUUUUUUAUAUUUUGUCCAUAUAACCAUCCCUCUAUGUCCUAAGAAAGUUGUGUAGAGCUACACAGCUUUCUGUUACACAAGCAGCCACAUCAGGAGAUAGAUUUAAUGUAUUUAACAGUAGUCUGAAUCGGUUGACCAAUAUGCCAAAGGCAUUUUCAGAGACACGCCUCACUCUACUUAAACGAUAAUUGAAAAUGUUGUCAUGAUCACCUAGUCCUCGUUGGGGAUAUGGCUUCAUAAGGUGUUCCUUCAAUGGGAAUGCCUCAUCUCCCACAAGUACAAAAGGCAUCUUAACAUGUGAAUGAGCAAGUUCCCUUGGUGCAGGAACUUGAAGGGUCUUACAUUCAACUGCCUUGGAAAGUGUAGUGCAGGCUAAUAUUCCAGCAUCAUUGUUUCUUCCAUUUUCCCCUACAUCAUACCAAAUAAACCGAUAAAAUGCAUCUACCACGGCUAGCAAAACAACUGAAUGAAAGACUUUAUAAUUAAAGUACAUAGAACCCCUUUUCAGUGGGGCCUCCAUAGCAAUAUUUUUAAAGAUAUUUUUUCCAUCUUUAACCCCAAUAUAGUGUGGAAAAUUCCAUUUUUCUUCAAAGGCUCUUGCAAUGGCUUCCCAUUCUUGUGUUGUAUUGGGAACCUGUAAACAUAAGAGACCAGAAGUUCAACAGUAUGAAUUAAACUAAUGCAUUUAAGAAGAGGAAAGUACCUUUUACACAACCAUUAUAACAAAUUAUUUGUUAUUGCAUUGUAGGAAACACAAGUGGUGAAUCACCAACAGCAAAGCGAAGACGAUUAUUUCUACCAGUGCCAGACAGAAAAGGAAUUCACUGAAACUCAGUCUGAAGGGGUGAAAGAGGAUGACCCAGCACUUUCACUCACUUCAAGCCCUUGUGGGUCAAGAAGUGACUACUCAGAUGCAGGCAAAAGGCAAGAAAAAAGAUCAGGGGGAUGAUCUCAUGUGGGCAAAAAAUCUUACUAAAAAAAUUUCAGAAUUACCAGAUAUUACACAAAGGAAGCUUAUUAAACUAGAUAUUGACGACCUAGCAAAGAAUGACUAGGACCUCUACACUUAAAGGAAUUAAUUUUUUUUCUCUUGGUGCUUAUGCGUCUAUGACCUUGACUGAAAUAAAACCAUUUGCAUUGUA